Molecule: non-coding RNA, 131 nt
Filed under: Methylobacterium nodulans
Lineage: Bacteria; Pseudomonadati; Pseudomonadota; Alphaproteobacteria; Hyphomicrobiales; Methylobacteriaceae
Also listed under: 1 other name
Description: TPP sequence
Rfam family: TPP riboswitch aptamer (THI element)
About the family: Vitamin B(1) in its active form thiamin pyrophosphate (TPP) is an essential coenzyme that is synthesised by coupling of pyrimidine and thiazole moieties in bacteria.
Source: RNAcentral
AGGCGUUCCAGGGAGAUCCCCGACAAGGGGCUGAGACACCGAUGGAUCGGCGCCUUUCCGCCGAUCAGCGCGGAAAUCCUUCGAACCUGAUCCGGCUCAUACCGGCGUAGGGAUUGGACGGGGUCCGCGGA